Cercocebus atys (sooty mangabey) is the source of this 532-nucleotide long non-coding RNA. RefSeq lists it as uncharacterized. The transcript is spliced from 3 exons. The record is from RefSeq and is a predicted model, not a curated record. Lineage: Eukaryota; Metazoa; Chordata; Mammalia; Primates; Cercopithecidae.
AUUGAAGCUCCUGGCCUCAAGCCAUCCUCCCGUCUCAGCCUCCUGAAGUGCUGGGAUUCCAGGCGUGAGCCACCACGGUAGACCCUGCAUUUCUCCUCUGUGCUCACUGCCACACGCGGCUCAGCCUGGGCUGCACAGCCAGGUGUCAGGUGCGUCUCUGCUGACCUGGGUCUGCCUGCAACAUGGACCUGCAUCUUCCCUGAAGCAUCUCCAGGGCUGGAGAGACGACUGCCGUGAGGGCCUGGUGCCUGCCCCAACCUCAGACCUAAAGGAAUGACAGCCAGGUUCCUGGGGAGGGCAGUUCCGCUUCCUGUGUGGCUGCAGAUGACAAAAUCCCUUGACAAGAGGGGCCCAGCCUCUGAGUGUCCACACCCUGUGUGUCUCUGUCCUGCCAGCACCGAGGGCUCAUCCAUCUGCAGAGCAGGGCAGUGGGAGGAGAUGCCAUGACCCCCAUCCUCAUGGUCCUGAUCUGUCUCGGGCUGAGUCUGGGCCCCAGGACCCACGUGCAGUCAGGUGAGUCUGUCCCCGGCUG